RNAcentral lists this transfer RNA (82 nucleotides) under Ixodes scapularis (black-legged tick). It matches the Rfam family "tRNA". From Rfam's summary of the family: Transfer RNA (tRNA) molecules are approximately 80 nucleotides in length. Their secondary structure includes four short double-helical elements and three loops (D, anti-codon, and T loops). Further hydrogen bonds mediate the characteristic L-shaped molecular structure. tRNAs have two regions of fundamental functional importance: the anti-codon, which is responsible for specific mRNA codon recognition, and the 3' end, to which the tRNAs corresponding amino acid is attached (by aminoacyl-tRNA synthetases). tRNAs cope with the degeneracy of the genetic code in two manners: having more than one tRNA (with a specific anti-codon) for a particular amino acid; and 'wobble' base-pairing, i.e. permitting non-standard base-pairing at the 3rd anti-codon position. The record is from Rfam by way of RNAcentral. Lineage: Eukaryota; Metazoa; Arthropoda; Arachnida; Ixodida; Ixodidae.
GCAGUCGUGGCCGAGUGGUUAAGGCGCUGGACUAGAAAUCCAUUGGGGUCUCCCCGCACAGGUUCGAAUCCUGUCGACUGCG